RNAcentral lists this ribosomal RNA (253 nucleotides) under uncultured bacterium. Its description in RNAcentral is "partial 16S ribosomal RNA". It matches the Rfam family "Bacterial small subunit ribosomal RNA", at positions 524 to 776 of the family's 1533-position model. The record is from RNAcentral.
UACGUAGGUGGCAAGCGUUGUCCGGAAUUACUGGGUGUAAAGGGCGUGUAGGCGGGGAUGCAAGUCAGAUGUGAAAUUCCGGGGCUCAACUCCGGAGCUGCAUCUGAAACUGUAUCUCUUGAGUGCUGGAGAGGAAAGCGGAAUUCCUAGUGUAGCGGUGAAAUGCGUAGAUAUUAGGAGGAACACCAGUGGCGAAGGCGGCUUUCUGGACAGUAACUGACGCUGAGGCGCGAAAGCGUGGGGAGCAAACAGG